UGGGGAAUCUUCCGCAAUGGGCGAAAGCCUGACGGAGCAACGCCGCGUGAGUGAUGACGGCCUUCGGUUGUAAAGCUCUGUGAUCGGGGACGAACGGUCAGCAGACGAAUACUCUGCUGAAGUGACGGUACCCGAAUAGCAAGCCACGGCUAACUACGUGCCAGCAGCCGCGGUAAUACGUAGGUGGCAAGCGUUGUCCGGAAUUAUUGGGCGUAAAGCGCGCGCAGGCGGCCGUGCAAGUCCAUCUUAAAAGCGUGGGGCUUAACCCCAUGAGGGGAUGGAAACUGCAGGGCUGGAGUGUCGGAGGGGAAAGUGGAAUUCCUAGUGUAGCGGUGAAAUGC
RNAcentral lists this ribosomal RNA (341 nucleotides) under uncultured Dialister sp. RNAcentral's name for it is "bacterial SSU rRNA". It matches the Rfam family "Bacterial small subunit ribosomal RNA", at positions 355 to 689 of the family's 1533-position model. The record is from RNAcentral. Lineage: Bacteria; Bacillati; Bacillota; Negativicutes; Veillonellales; Veillonellaceae.